ACACGUCGAUAAUCUGACUUAUGGUUUGGGAUAACCUUGAGAGAUUGAGGCUAACACCGAAUAGAGGAUUGAGGCUGGAACGCACUUUCCUUUAAAAGCAAUGCCAUAAGAUGAGUCGGCGGCUGAUUAGGUUGUUGGUGAGGUAAUGGCUCACCAAGCCGAAGAUCAGUAGGGGGAGUGAGAGCUCUAGCCCCGAGAAGGACACUGAGAAAAGGGUCCUAGUCCUAAGGGACGCAGCAGUCGCGAAAACUUUACAAUGCACGAAAGUGUGAUAAGGGAAUUCCAAGUGCUUUACCUACGGGUAAGGCUUUUGCCAAGUGAAAACAGCUUGGCGAAUAAGUGGUGGGCAAGACCGGUGCCAGCCGCCGCGGUAACCCCGGCGCCACAAGUGGGGAUCAUAUUUAUUGGGUCUAAAGCAUCUGUAGCCGGUUUAGAAACUCUCUUGUGAAAUCGUUGCGCUUAACGUAACGAAUUGCAAGAGAAACUUCUAGACUUGGGAUUGGGAGAGGAUAGAAGUAUUCUAGGGGGAGCGGUAAAAUGUGAUAAUCCCUAGAAGACUACCAAUGGCGAAGGCAUCUAUCUAGAACAAGUCCGACGGUGAGGGAUGAAGGCCAGGGGAGCGAUCCGGAUUAGAUACCCGAGUAGUCCUGGCAGUAAACGCUGUGAGCUAUGUGUUGCAUAUUCUUAGGGAAU
RNAcentral lists this ribosomal RNA (693 nucleotides) under uncultured archaeon. RNAcentral's name for it is "bacterial SSU rRNA". It matches the Rfam family "Archaeal small subunit ribosomal RNA", at positions 96 to 792 of the family's 1478-position model. The record is from RNAcentral.